RNAcentral lists this ribosomal RNA (439 nucleotides) under uncultured bacterium. RNAcentral describes it as "bacterial SSU rRNA". It matches the Rfam family "Bacterial small subunit ribosomal RNA", at positions 338 to 795 of the family's 1533-position model. The record is from RNAcentral.
CCUACGGGCCGCACCAGUGGGGAAUAUUGCACAAUGGGCGAAAGCCUGAUGCAGCAACGCCGCGUGAGCGAUGAAGGCCUUCGGGUCGUAAAGCUCUGUCCUCAAGGAAGAUAAUGACGGUACUUGAGGAGGAAGCCCCGGUUAACUACGUGCCAGCAGCCGCGGUAAUACGUAGGGAGCUAGCGUUAUCCGGAAUAACUGGGCGUAAAGGGUGCGUAGGUGGUUUCUUAAGUCAGAGGUGAAAGGCUACGGCUCAACCGUAGUAAGCCUUUGAAACUGGGAAACUUGAGUGCAGGAGAGGAGAGUGGAAUUCCUAGUGUAGCGGUGAAAUGCGUAGAUAUUAGGAGGAACACCAGUUGCGAAGGCGGCUCUCUGGACUGUAACUGACACUGAGGCACGAAAGCGUGGGGAGCAAACAGGAUUAGAUACCCUCGUAGUC